CCUACGGGGGGCUGCAGUGAGGAAUAUUGGACAAUGGACGGAAGUCUGAACCAGCCAUGCCGCGUGCAUGAAGACGGCUCUAUGAGUUGUAAACUGCUUUUGUACAAGGGUAAACCUGAAUACGUGUAUUCAGCUGAAAGUACUGUACGCAUAAGGAUCGGCUCACUCCGUGCCAGCAGCCGCGGUAAUACGGAGGAUCCAAGCGUUAUCCGGAUUUAUUGGGUUUAACGGGUACGUAGGCGGAUUGAUAAGUUAGAGGUGAAUUGUCCGAGCUUAACUCGGGAACUGCCUCUAAUACUGUUGAGCUAGAGAGUAGAUGAGGUAGGCAGAAUGUAAGGUGUAGCGGUGAAAUGCGUAGAGAUCAGACAGAACACCGAUGGCGAAGGCAGCUCACCAAUCGAUAACUGACGUUGAGGCACGAAAGCGUGGGGAGCAAACAGGAUUAGAUACCCCUGUAGUC
Molecule: ribosomal RNA, 460 nt
Filed under: uncultured bacterium
Lineage: Bacteria
Description: partial 16S ribosomal RNA
Rfam family: Bacterial small subunit ribosomal RNA
Source: RNAcentral